This is a long non-coding RNA of Fundulus heteroclitus (mummichog), 350 nucleotides long. RefSeq lists it as uncharacterized. The transcript is spliced from 3 exons. NCBI's taxonomy places the organism in Eukaryota, Metazoa, Chordata, Actinopteri, Cyprinodontiformes, Fundulidae. The record is from RefSeq and is a predicted model, not a curated record.
GAACUGGCAGACGAGAACAGACCGGAGCAGACAGGAACAGGACCAGGAGACGAGCAGGAACAGGACAGGCAUGAUGUACAGAAGACUGAAGACGAACCGGUCAUCACGGAGAGACUCAGAAAGUAUGUAGAAACUACCAGCCCCUACAUACAUCUCACUGUGCUAGCAGCAUAGUUUUGGUCCUCCUGCAGUGUAAUUUCCAAAUAUGGCAAAGACAGAUGAAGCCAAAAUCCAGAGAAAAACUCUAAAAGACCUUCAGAAAGUCUGGAGAACUGCCGAUCAAAACUACUUCAGGCUGGUUCUUUGGAGGCAAGUAUGACGAAAUGAGGGGGAUGACCAAAUCUUCGGCU